RNAcentral lists this long non-coding RNA (1694 nucleotides) under Daucus carota (carrot). RNAcentral describes it as "long non-coding RNA (DCAR_LNC005633)". The record is from RNAcentral. Lineage: Eukaryota; Viridiplantae; Streptophyta; Magnoliopsida; Apiales; Apiaceae.
UUUAAAUAAGGUUGUGAAGAAAGACAAUUUUGAACCUUUUAAAACACUUUUGAAAAACUGUAUUUAUGAAAACCAAAUAAUUUAAAACCUGAAAGCAUUAAUAAAAGGUUUAAAAGGAAACACUUUAACCCCCUAAAAACAGGAUCGCAUCCAGGUUACAGUAUUGAAAUCAGAAAACAACCAACCUGAUCUCUGAUGUACUUAACCACUUAGAAUCCUUGCCUCUUAGCAUCACUCACACGCGCAGUCUAAUCAGAUAAUCCAUCUCUAGCCUUAGCUGAAAGGUUCAGAAUUGAAAAGCAAGAAUAAGCUAAAAUGCUCAGCAAGUUCUAGUAGUAAAACAGUUUGUAUAAAGAUAGUUUGCAAGGUUGAGCUAUGAAUUGCUCAGCAGUACCAAUUUGAAUAACAAGAGAUAUAAUCGAUGUAAAAACAGCUUAUAAGAGCAAGAGUAUAGAAAUCAUGCAUGCUUCGAACAUAAAACAGUAAAUCAUCAUUUGAUAUGAAACUGGAAAUCAACAUUUAUUAGCAUGCUGAAAAAUGUGAUAAUCAUAAGUUUUAGUUUCAAAAUUUUAUCACUAGCAUGCUAUAACAGGUUUUUAUCUAAAACGAAUAUCAGAUAUAUUGGACGCUAACAGGUGAAGAUAGCUGAUCAGUCUAUCAACACCGGACGGCUCUAGUCGGCCAUCACGAAAUAAUGUUCCAGAACCUAAAGACUAGCUAUGUCUUUAGACGCUGGACCAGGUGGUUUUGGGUGUGUAAACCACGCAAGCCUCUUACGCCACCAUGAUGGGUCGUUAUCAAAUAACGGAACCUCUUACGCAGCUCCAAAUAGAGAUAUCUGAUCCAUUUCAGUUUUCAAUUUGAUUUGUAUCCAUCCCAUUUUCAAAACCAUUACAUGAUAUUCAUGAAUCAAUACCAUGUCUCAAAAAUUAUAUCACAGGUUUAGCAAUGAUAAUCACCAAACAUUUUCAGAAUUUAAAUCUCAUCCGGGAUAGAUAUUCACAAGUUACUAUUCCCCUAAAACAAUUUAAAAGAUAUUAAAAUCCAUAGAAACAGGGGAAUACGUACUUAAAACAUUUGAUAUUUGACAUGCAUUCUUGCUCUAUGAUAAACAUAUAUAAUCUGAACCAUAAAGAGUAUGGUCAGAGAUACUUGCAAUAUAUUUAAAAGAAGGUUUCAAGAUACUUGCAUAAUAGGAUUUGAAGAAAAUAUCACUUGAAUGAUAAGUAAAGAUAGGAAUACUUGCACUUUCAAAUAUAUAAGAGAGGACAAUACUUGCCUUUGGUCCUUAGCUUAUACACUCUUAGCUAACAUCCUUAUCUUAUUCUGCUUUCUCAAGACAUCACCCUCAACUAUUCCUGAUUCUCUGCUAUGGCGCUCAUGCGGUUGCUGCAGCCUGAUACGAAAUCUUAUCUAACUUCAGUCUUGAUCCCCAACGUCUGGUUCUAUUCGUCUCGAACAAUUCGUAACUACUGAACCGCUAUACAACUCUCCCCUUUUCUUGCCUUUGCUUGGUAUCACGCCCUCAAUGCUCGAUCCUAUUAUAAGCAAAAAGAUACUACUUUAGUAUCCUUCCGAAACGACUAUCCUAUUUCUACCCUUUCGCGAUAUAUAUAUACACGGCACAUUAUAUAGCACAUAACAAGUAGCACACAUUAUAGUUUUAUAACUUACAACCAACUCAGAAUAUUAUU